RNAcentral lists this long non-coding RNA (654 nucleotides) under Salmo salar (Atlantic salmon). RNAcentral describes it as "lncRNA (ENSSSAG00000118591.1)". The record is from RNAcentral. Lineage: Eukaryota; Metazoa; Chordata; Actinopteri; Salmoniformes; Salmonidae.
GUAAGUUGUGAAAGUAUGAUUGUUAGAUUAAUGCACGUUAAACCUACAGUUGUUUUUAUACAGUAUAAUUUAUGCAAUGUGUAUUACAAUAGUGGCUUGUCACCUUCCUUCCCGCCUGAGCCCUCAGUGGAGGAUUCAUAAUGCCCAUAAAACCUAGCGGUCAAGCAGGGAAAUGGUUCCAAUCGUUUUUCCCAUAAGGGAUUUGAGAAACACUUAAAAUAAGGGCUGCAAGCUCCUGGACAUUAUCUCCAGCUGGAACCUUUGCAAACAGACAUGAGCAUCUCAUUGUAUACAGAUUUGUCUCCUCUCCUCAAUUCAAUUUCGAGAGGAAGAGAGGCCCAACUCAGUGGAAAAUCUGUCUUCCUCCAGUCUGCAAUAAGGAGUCCAACAGACAAUGUGAUGUCCCCAUGUACAAGACAGCUCAUGAAGAAAGCUAUCAAGGACAUACCGUCAUCUCCCAGACCCAGACGGGAAGCAAAAGAGAACACUGCAAAUAAAUGAAUUACCUUUUUAUGUACAGUGUGAUGUCUUUACGGUAUUCCUCUCUCUGCUAAGAUGGGCAGAUAAAUUAAUCAUUGACAUUUUCCUGACAUUCUACCGUCUUUUUAAUAUGUUCUUACUAACCAAGCUGCUCACACUUUAUUGAUCCAUUAU